AGACGCAAGACCGUGAGGUGGAGCAAAACUUAUAAAACCUAUCUCAGUUCGGAUUGUAGGCUGCAACUCGCCUACAUGAAGCUGGAGUUGCUAGUAAUCGCGAAUCAGAAUGUCGCGGUGAAUACGUUCCCGGGCCUUGUACACACCGCCCGUCACACCAUGAGAGCUGGUAACACCCGAAGUCCGUGAGGUAACCGUAAGGAGCCAGCGGCCGAAGGUGGGAUUAGUGAUUGGGGUGAAGUCGUAACAAGGUAGCCGUAGGAGAACCUGCGGCUGGAUCACCUCCUUUCUAAGGAGA
This 298-nucleotide ribosomal RNA is filed under the name Clostridium sporogenes. Its description in RNAcentral is "partial 16S ribosomal RNA". It matches the Rfam family "Bacterial small subunit ribosomal RNA", at positions 1245 to 1533 of the family's 1533-position model. Lineage: Bacteria; Bacillati; Bacillota; Clostridia; Eubacteriales; Clostridiaceae. The record is from RNAcentral.